UCGGAUUCUGAAGAAAUUCCUAGCAGAGUCACCAGAGCUAUCACACUCCUUUUUUGACCAAAAAAUAUUUAGAUUUUACGGUUUGAAAGGGCUUUUAUUAAAGUGACAAAAAUGAAGAUUUGUUUUGAAAAAGGAUUAUUAACAUUAAAGAUCAGAGUCGCCACUUGAAAUAAUUGGGUGUGCCAAGUCACAUUUGGAAAAUCCUUUUCAAAAUGGUUUGUGACUCUAAAA
Molecule: long non-coding RNA, 231 nt
Filed under: Capsicum annuum
Lineage: Eukaryota; Viridiplantae; Streptophyta; Magnoliopsida; Solanales; Solanaceae
Description: long non-coding RNA (CANN_LNC000193)
Source: RNAcentral